RNAcentral lists this ribosomal RNA (477 nucleotides) under uncultured bacterium. Its description in RNAcentral is "bacterial SSU rRNA". It matches the Rfam family "Bacterial small subunit ribosomal RNA", at positions 15 to 518 of the family's 1533-position model. The record is from RNAcentral.
GAUCAUGGCUCAGGAUGAACGCUGGCGGCGUGCCUAACACAUGCAAGUCGAGCGAUUCUCUUCGGAGAAGAGCGGCGGACGGGUGAGUAACGCGUGGGUAACCUGCCUCAUACACAUGGAUAACAUACCGAAAGGUAUGCUAAUACAGGAUAACAUAAGAGAUUCACAUGGAUUUCUUAUCAAAGCUCCGGCGGUAUGAGAUGGACCCGCGUCUGAUUAGCUAGUUGGUAAGGUAACGGCUUACCAAGGCGACGAUCAGUAGCCGACCUGAGAGGGUGAUCGGCCACAUUGGAACUGAGACACGGUCCAAACUCCUACGGGAGGCAGCAGUGGGGAAUAUUGCACAAUGGGCGAAAGCCUGAUGCCAGCAACGCCGCGUGAGUGAUGAAGGCUUUCGGGUCGUAAAACUCUGUCCUCAAGGAAGAUAAUGACGGUACUUGAGGAGGAAGCCCCGGCUAACUACGUGCCAGCCGCAGC